AGUGGCAGAGUGAGGGAAGGAAGGGAUGACUGGUGACAUAGUGAGGGAAUGACUGGUGACAGAGUGAGAGAGGGGGUGACUAGUGACCGAGUGAGGGAGGGAGUGGGUGACUAGUGACAGAGUAAGGAAGGGGGUGACACAGUGAUAGUCACCCCAUUCCUCCCUCUGUCACUAAUCACCACCUCCCUCACUCUCACUAGUCACCCCUUCCCUCCCUCACUUUGUCACUAGUCACACUCUCCCUCUCUCUGUCACUAGUCACACCCUUACUCACUGUCACUUGUCACACCCUUACUCACUGUCA
This is a non-coding RNA of Pelobates cultripes (western spadefoot toad), 304 nucleotides long. Lineage: Eukaryota; Metazoa; Chordata; Amphibia; Anura; Pelobatidae. The record is from the annotation of a GenBank genome assembly.